AAAGUAAUGAAGAAGGAGAGAGAAAUAUCUGCAGCGUGUCUACACUACUUGUGAAGCAUCCCUCCUGCAGUGGGGGGAAGGAGGUGUCUUAAACCUGGGUCCCUGUUCCUCUGUCCAUAAACAUAUUUCUGAGAGCACCACUCACCACUCUCUACUCUCAUGGGCAAUUGGAUUUCAAGAGUGCAAGAGAACAUCCAUAAUUUCCACCAGGUUCCAAAUGCUAACAUGAUGCCAACUGGACUCCUCUGGGCAGAGGACCCCACCAAUGUAUCCUGGAGCCCCGCUUCCCCAGGGCCGUGCCUCACUAGAGGAAGAGAGAGACAGGCUGGAAGCAUGGAUUGACCUGCCAAUGCUCAUGUUCAGUGGAGAAGCAGUUACAGAAGCCAGACCUUCCACCAGCACCACACAAUGACCUUGGGUCCAUACUCCCAGAGGGAUAAAGAAUAGGAAAGCUAUCAGGGGAGAGGAUAGGAUACAGAGUUCUGGUGGUGGGAAUUGUGUGGAGUU
Molecule: long non-coding RNA, 507 nt
Organism: Erinaceus europaeus (western European hedgehog)
Lineage: Eukaryota; Metazoa; Chordata; Mammalia; Eulipotyphla; Erinaceidae
Exons: 3
Source: RefSeq, a predicted model, not a curated record